Long non-coding RNA from Balaenoptera acutorostrata (minke whale), 464 nucleotides. RefSeq lists it as uncharacterized. The transcript is spliced from 4 exons. The record is from RefSeq and is a predicted model, not a curated record. NCBI's taxonomy places the organism in Eukaryota, Metazoa, Chordata, Mammalia, Artiodactyla, Balaenopteridae.
AAAUUUCAUGGAAAAUUUCAAUGUGCAAUCAGGAUUGAUGACCAUUGGCUUAAGAAAUGAAGGAGCCGCUUCUUUGACACGGAUCUGGCAGAGAAUUUAGAGGAAGUCUGACCAAGUCGGUUGAAAAGAGGCAUACUUUGCUUUCUCUCAGGGCAGGAACAAAAGCAGCCUGAACAAUCCCACCAUCGGAACAAUGCCAAUCACAACAUUAGCAACGCUGAUGCCGUGAGGACUUAAGAGGAGACCCUGGAGACCCUCUGCCCACUUAGAGGCCUGAUGGAGCUAGAAGAGGAGCUGAGGACAAACUUGGGGCAGAGCCCCUGGUGUCCCAAGUCUCCAAAGAAGCGAGAGGACACCCGCUGUGCCAGCUGAAAACGGAAAUUCAGCAUCUUCCACUAAAUUACCUGUCCGAAGGAACCUUUGCCUAUCAAGGAGUCAAUUUCGUAGCGAUCCAUCCACUUCUC